Molecule: long non-coding RNA, 1105 nt
Filed under: Brachypodium distachyon (stiff brome)
Lineage: Eukaryota; Viridiplantae; Streptophyta; Magnoliopsida; Poales; Poaceae
Description: long non-coding RNA (BDIS_LNC001946)
Source: RNAcentral
UUGGCAUGACGAGGUACUUAAAAAUUGUUAAGGUACAUGUGAUGUACCUACGAUGUACUCGUCUCAUAAGAGGUACCAAGUUUUGAGAGAUACUUAUACUGUGAUUUUUUCGUGAUAUAUGUGUUGUAUCAUAUGAUGUACUCGUCUCACAAGUUCAUGUAUUCUCUGUAUUAUUAUUUGUUUCUUGGUGAUUGCUAUGAGUUGAUGUACUCUUGAUAUGACGAAAUAAUUGUUAAGGUACAUGUGAUGUAACUACGAUGUACUCGUCGGAUAAGAGGUACCAAGUUUGGAGAUAUGCUUGUACUGUGCUUUUUUCUAAAUAUAUGUGAUGUAGCAUAUGAUGUACUCAUCUCACAAGUUCAUAUACACGAGAUACUUAAAAACUAAUAAGGUACAUGUCACAUACCACAAUGUACUUAAAAAUUGCUAAGGUAACCAUGAUGUACUUAAAAACUUGUUUAUGUACUAUGUUUGGUGUACAUGUACCUGACGUGAUGAAAUAUGUACCAAAGAAUAAAAUUAGUAAAAAAUAAAUAAAUGACUCCCCAAAAUUUUCAUCUACAAAAAAAACAUAUUAGAGAAGCAACAAGAAAGAUAGAGAAAGAAACGAAGGAAAAAGAAAAGGUGUCACGAGCAGGACAGAAGGUCACGUCAAAACAGUCUGCUAGACAUAAAUAAAGUAGUAUUCUUUUCUGCUAAUCAUCUCCCCCCUCUACAAGACACAGUAAACCAAAUUGCAGAUGAACGGCACAGCAAGCCCCUAUGCAUGGUCUAACCGCUAGCACGAUGGGGGCAGAUAUUUGGGGUGGUAUAACCUCCGCGUUAGUUUUCUUGACGGUUCGACAAUUGAGCGUAGACGGUAGUGCUUUGCAUAAAAAAACUGAAUUGGACUGUUACUUUUGAAAGUGCAGUUAUUUGACUGGCAUUUUAAAUUGUCUCUUCGAAUUGCUAGUGUUCAGCACUAACAUACCGACUGAUCAGUUUUUUUUAAAAAAAAAAUGCAAAUUCACAAAAAAGGUCUAGGGAUCGAUGUGGAAAGAUCCAAACCGGGCGAGUAACUUAUUCCCGUCUCUGCUUCGUCGCCUCCCUUUUGCUUCAACGGGCG